Molecule: long non-coding RNA, 227 nt
Filed under: Homo sapiens (human)
Lineage: Eukaryota; Metazoa; Chordata; Mammalia; Primates; Hominidae
Description: non-protein coding lnc-RAB40B-1:3
Source: RNAcentral
CUCACGCCUGUAAUCCCAGCACUUUGGGAGGCUGAGGCGGGCGGAUCAUUUUAUAACUAUCUAUUAAAUGAUUAAUCCACUGGAACUCUACCUGCAAAGUGAUAGUCUUUGAAGAUGGGGACUUUGGGCUCCCGUCUUUGGACUCUGCAGCUGCAGACCAGUCCUGCAUCCUCACUGUCCCCGAUCCACACCUGCAGGGCCAGAUGGCCCAUGGCAACGAGAAUGAC